This 485-nucleotide long non-coding RNA is filed under the name Homo sapiens (human). RNAcentral's name for it is "non-protein coding lnc-RRN3-3:6". The record is from RNAcentral. Lineage: Eukaryota; Metazoa; Chordata; Mammalia; Primates; Hominidae.
CUGGCCUCAGAGCGCGCCAUCACCGUGAAGGUGCCCAACAACUCGGACUGGGCUGCCCGGGGCCACCGCAGCUCUGCCAACUCCGUUGUGGUCCAGCCCCAGGCCUCCGUCGGUGCUGUGGUCACCCUGGACAGCAGCAACCCUGCGGCCGUGCUGCAUCUGCAGCUCAACUAUACGCUGCUGGACGGUGCGUGCAGCGGGCCGCUACCUGUCUGAGGAACCCGAGCCCUACCUGGCAGUCUACCUGCACUCGGAGCCCCGGCCCAAUGAGCACAACUGCUCGGCUAGCAGGAGGAUCCGCCCAGAGUCCCUCCAGGGUGCCGACCACCGGCCCUACACCUUCUUCAUUUCCCCGGGCCCGCCAGGCCGUCUGCCUCACCCGCCACCUCACCGCCUUCGGCGCCAGCCUCUUCGUGCCCCCAAGCCAUGUACGCUUUGUGUUUCCUGAGCCGACAGCGGAUGUAAACUACAUCGUCAUGCUGACA